RNAcentral lists this long non-coding RNA (340 nucleotides) under Mytilus galloprovincialis (Mediterranean mussel). Lineage: Eukaryota; Metazoa; Mollusca; Bivalvia; Mytilida; Mytilidae. The record is from RNAcentral.
AAAGACACAUAAUACCCGUAGUUACUAAAACUAGUCCUCAGAUCAGUUCUAUUCACAUAAAUAACAAAAGACACAUAAUACCCGUAGUUACUUAAACUAGUCCUCAGAUCAGUUCUAUUCACAUAAAUUAACAAAAGACACAAAAUACCCGUAGUUACUUAAACUAGUCCUCGAUCAGUUCUAUUCACAUAAAUAACAAAAGACACAAAAUACCCGUAGUUACUUAAACUAGUCCUCAGAUCAGUUCUAUUCACAUAAAUAACAAAAGACACAAAAUACCCGUAGUUACUAAAACUAGUCAUCAGAUCUGUUCUAUUCACAUAAAUAACAAAAAGACACA